This 937-nucleotide ribosomal RNA is filed under the name uncultured archaeon. Its description in RNAcentral is "bacterial SSU rRNA". It matches the Rfam family "Archaeal small subunit ribosomal RNA", at positions 1 to 938 of the family's 1478-position model. The record is from RNAcentral.
UUCCGGAUGAUCCUGCCGGAGGUCACUGCUAUCGGUGUUCGACUAAGCCAUGCGAGUCAAAUGUUCAACGUGAACAUGGCGAACUGCUCACUUUCACGUGGAUAACCUGCCGUUAGGACUGGCAUAACCCCGGGAAACUGGGGAUAAUUCCGAAUGGGCCAUGUAUGCUGGAAUGCUUCGUGGGUAAUUUGGUUCCGACCGCCUUUGGAUGGAUCUGCGGCCUAUCAGGUAGUAGUGCCUGUAGUGUACCUACUAGCCUACGACGGGUACGGGUUGUGAGAGCAAGAGCCCGGAGAUGGAUUCUGAGACAUGAAUCCAGGCCCUACGGGGCGCAGCAGGCGCGAAAACUUUACAAUGCGGGAAAGGGCGAUAAGGGCACACUGAGUGCCUGCAUACUAUGUUGGCUGUCCACAUGUGUAAACAGCAUGCGUUAGCAAGGGCCGGGCAAGACCGGUGCCAGCCGCCGCGGUAACACCGGCGGCCCGAGUGGUGAUCACUAUUAUUGGGUCUAAAGGGUCCGUAGCCGGUUUGAUCAGUCUUUUGGGAAAUCUGACAGCUCAACUGUUAGGCUUCCGGGGAAUACUGUCAGACUUGGGACCGGGAGAGGUAAGAGGUACCACAGGGGUAGGAGUGAAAUCUUGUAAUCCCUGUGGGACCACCAGUGGCGAAGGCGUCUAACCAGAACGGGUCCGANGGUGAGGGACGAAAGCUGGGCCCACGAACCGGAUUAGAUACCCGGGUAGUCCCAGCCGUAAACGAUGUUCGCUAGGUGUCAGGGACGGUGCGACCGUUCAUGGUGCCGCAGGGAAGCCGUGAAGCGAGCCACCUGGGAAGUACGGCCGCAUCGCUGACACUUAAUCGAAUUGGUGGGGGAGCAGAACAACGGGUGGAGCCUGCGCAUUAAUUGGACUCAACGCCGGAAUUCUCACCGAGACCC